CUUGGGUCAUCUGUGAUGCUGCCUACAGUGUACCCCAUGUUUCUCCCAUCCUGUGAGUUGUUUCACCAAUGGCUCAGUCUCAGUUGUAAAUCUGCCUCCUAAAGUCCCUAUUCUGGAGGAGAGAGACACCCAGCUGAAGGUGGACCAGCCAGCACCAUGUUCCUUCCCGUCUCUGGACCAAAAUGAGAAAGAGAAACUGUCUUACUUCCCUCUGCUCUCCAUUUUAUGCUCAUUUUUCCUGGUUUAGUUAGACCCUCGGGGUUAACAUGGAUUUUAAAAAUUCCUAGUCCCCACUGAAUGCCCGACUUCUCUUGGCAAUGUCUCUAGUAAGAGGUCAUCUUGCCCCCUCCCCCAGUUCGACCCCUCUAGGAUCUCAGGAAUGUCUUAUUGCCCCUUCCUUCUCCCUCUCGCCCUUCCAUGAAUAUUCAUCGACUACUAGCUCUGUGCAGGGAGCAAAAGACUGAGCCCCUGCCCAUAUAUUUGAUGCUGUAGAUUUGAUGCUGUAAAGCUCUUCCUUUGUCAGCUCCUGAUCUGCUGCCAAGGCAAGCCAAGCCUGUUCUUGGUCUAGGCAGGAAGGGGAAUUGUGGUGGUGAACUUGUCACUACUCCCCUUCAAGGUCAAUCAUGUCCUGCUCUCACAUCUAGACCAGUGUAGGCAUCAGGAAAGGAAAAACAGUUGAGAUGGCAUCUCACUCCUCUUUAAUCAGUCUGGUUGCUAUAAGUGGCCUCCAAACCCAUUUUACAAGACAAUUGAUGUCUAAAACACUCCAACCAUGGCCACCUCUACGCUGUAUUUAUCUCCAAAUCAAAUUAAGUAUCCGAUGUGUGUUCAGAAGGGAUUGCUUUUAUUAUAUGGGACACACAUUGUCACAUGAUGUUGAAGAGUGUUAUCA
RNAcentral lists this long non-coding RNA (892 nucleotides) under Marmota monax (woodchuck). The record is from RNAcentral. Lineage: Eukaryota; Metazoa; Chordata; Mammalia; Rodentia; Sciuridae.